Transfer RNA from Microdochium bolleyi, 119 nucleotides. It matches the Rfam family "tRNA". Rfam says of the family: Transfer RNA (tRNA) molecules are approximately 80 nucleotides in length. The record is from Rfam. Lineage: Eukaryota; Fungi; Ascomycota; Sordariomycetes; Xylariales; Microdochiaceae.
GGUGCUAUCGUCCAGUGGUUAAGACAUCACGUUGUGGUUGUACACUAGUACAGUUAACACUUUCACUGUCACGCAAGUAAAUUGCCGUGAAAACGCCGGUUCGAUUCCGGCUAGCGCCA